AUGAUGACCACCACGUGCCCCAGCCACUCCCUCGCGGGCCCGGCGGCCGAGCCCUUCUCGCCGUCGGAGCCCGGGGGUUGGUCCUCGUCCGGGCCGGCGAGGCCGCCGGAGAGCUUCCAGUAGGAGCAGGCCAGGGUGAGGAGCGAGAGCGCGAUGAGGGCCAGCAUCGUCGCGAGCCCGCCGAAGAGGUACGGCACCGGCGUCUGCCACGUCGAGCGCGGCGCCGCCGCGGGGCCGUGGGCCAUGGGGUACUCGGCUCCGGGCCUCAUGGCAUGGGUCGCUACCGUUCCAAUGACAGCAGUGUAUGCCUCUCUGUUGUCUGUGUUGUCUGUUGUCUGGGUGGUGUGA
RNAcentral lists this ribosomal RNA (348 nucleotides) under Triticum aestivum (bread wheat). RNAcentral describes it as "partial small subunit ribosomal RNA". Lineage: Eukaryota; Viridiplantae; Streptophyta; Magnoliopsida; Poales; Poaceae. The record is from RNAcentral.